Long non-coding RNA from Aphis gossypii (cotton aphid), 323 nucleotides. RefSeq lists it as uncharacterized. The record is from RefSeq and is a predicted model, not a curated record. Lineage: Eukaryota; Metazoa; Arthropoda; Insecta; Hemiptera; Aphididae. The transcript has 3 exons.
ACAAAUUGCAACUGUGUAUAUAUUUCCAAAUCGCAUUUACUUUAUUUUUAAUGUUUAGCUCAAAUUUUACAUACGAAACGAUCCAAACGAUAUUAUACUUGUUGUGGAUACGAAAAAAUCUUGGAUGGAUAUUAAUAUUUUACUCCAAUAACGUAUUGUAACGAUUUCAAAAAAGAAAUUGGAAAAAUCAUAAUCAACUUAUGUACAGACAAUAAGUCGAGGAGAAAUUAAAUGAACCAAACGCUGCGGCCGCAGAAGACAAAUGGGAAAACACAAUUAAUCUAAUACCCGUAGAGAAGAAAUGAUUUCGAACUCUUUACAAA